RNAcentral lists this ribosomal RNA (424 nucleotides) under uncultured bacterium. RNAcentral describes it as "bacterial SSU rRNA". It matches the Rfam family "Bacterial small subunit ribosomal RNA", at positions 355 to 796 of the family's 1533-position model. The record is from RNAcentral.
UAACGAAUCUUCCGCAAUGCACGAAAGUGUGACGGAGCGACGCCGCGUGUGGGACGAAGCCCUUCGGGAUGUAAACCACUGUCAGGGGUUAGAAAGUUCUGAUCAACCCCAGAGGAAGGCACGGCUAACUCUGUGCCAGCAGCCGCGGUAAGACAGAGGUGCCGAGCGUUAGGCGGAAUCACUGGGCUUAAAGCGUGUGUAGGCGGAUCUCUAAGUACCUUGUGAAAUCCCACGGCUCAACCGUGGAACUGCUCGGUAUACUGGAGAUCUUGAGCCACCUAGGGGCGAGCGGAACAAAUGGUGGAGCGGUGAAAUGCGUAGAUAUCAUUUGGAACGCCAAUGGUGAAAACAGCUCGCUGGGGGUGUGCUGACGCUGAGACACGAAAGCCAGGGGAGCAAACGGGAUUAGAUACCCCCGUAGUCC